CUACUUUCUAAAUGCUUCUCACGCCUGUGCCCUUCUCCCAAGGCAAGGCCACUAUCAUCUCUGCAGUGGAUCCCAACCCAUCCUGGGCAUUGCAGAUAAAGAGGUGAUGCCACUCCCGUGCUUCAUCUCCUUCAGAGGACUUCUGUCAAGAUGGGCUAAACUGACCUGGGACCCUGACUCUUACUCUCAACACAUAAAAUUGCUAGAUAAAAUAUUUUUACACUUUUAAAUAUACAUAGCCAAGCAGACAUGCAAGAAAUAAAUGUGAUGAGAGAUCCCCCCUCCCCCCUUCAGCUGUAAGGGAAGAGUUGCAGCUGUGGGGUAUGGAGAUUGCACUGAGGAAUCAAGACCUGGCAUUCAAGACCCAGCAGUGGAAGUUCCACCAGCAGCCUGAAGGACAGAGCCUCACCAACACCAACACCCAGACCUGAUCAGCUAGGCCCCUGAUGGUUGAAGGGGUAGGAGAUGGUGCUCAAUGCCUGCUUUGGAGCAAAUAACUAAAUGCAGUCUUUACAGUCGCCAUGAGACAGCUUCACCACCCCAUGCUGAAGAGGAGGAAACUGAGUGGGAACCAAACCCUGGACUCUCUAGUCUGCAGGCUGACACUCCAACCGCUGAGCCAAAUUGGCCAGGGCUGACCACUCUGUUCUUCAUGGCUCUCCCAGCAUGCCAUUUUCCCAGCUCUCCCCUUCUUUGCUACACUCCAAGUAACACUUCGCAAAAAACAGAGAGGAAUUGACAACAUGCAGAAAUUGCCAAGCCUCCAGAACAUGAAAGAGCCCUCCUGGUCUCUGCCCUGGCCUGUAGUUCCUGAGCUUUUCAUGAUGGGUAAUUGAAUGACCCAUGGUAUUGAUGACCAAGGUUACAGUUCCAGAGACUCUGUCUCUGGCCAAGACCUAGAGAAUCUUUCCUCUGAGGCCCCUCUUUACAGAUCUAGCCAGCAGGACCCCAGGUAGACCAACAGAUGUCCUUGCUCUCCCUGAAGCCAUCUACCUUCCCACAGUCCUCCAGACUCACUGAGGGGACAACUGGCUCAUUCAGAAAUCCACGGACUCAUUGCAAACAUUCAGAAGACCAAUUAGCACCUGGCCUGUUUCUACUGCUAGCCAACACAUCUCCAGUUUCAUGGUGGGAAAAAGAAAAAACGUUGAAUAAAUAUGCAUUCAUAUAUUCAUUGAGCACCUACUAUGUGCCAGAGGCUAUACCAGGCUCUGGCCUCCUGGAACAUCACCACAGUCUUCUGACCACAGCCUAGAUCCAAUGGGGGCAAGGGGUCUUUCCGACCCCAGUGGGUGUGCAGAGAAAGGCUCUAGCAGAAGAGGUGAAGCUGGAGGUAGAAAGAGCAGGCCAGAGACUAGGCUACCUGCAGCAAGCCCCAUCCUUGACAGCUAGGAAAAUAUAGGAAGAAUGGACUGAUCGGGGGUAUCUGGGGGAGAGCCCAGGAACUUGACUAUGUCUCAGUGCCCUCACCUGUAGGAUGGGUUUUCAUACUAUCUGCCUGGAUGAAAGGUAGAAGUGGGUAUGGACAGAGAGCUUCAGGAUAAAGGUCCCUGUUCUUCAGCAACUUUAUGCCUUGAGAAGAUGGUUUUACAAAGAAGCUUGUUAAACCACAAAGAAUCCCAAGCCAAGAUGGAAGCAAAGAUCCCCAAAGUCCUCACUCACCAAGCGGGCACACUGAGCUGAACAUAAUGAGGCUAAUCUGAAUGCAGAGGAAUUGUGCAAAGUCAGUGACCCACAACCAGAGGGAUGAUCUGACUCAGCAUAAACAAGUAGGAAAACACUGAAGAUUUGCUUGCAGCAAAUUCCUAAGGAGUCUAUGAGGAGCACAAAUCCUGAGUGGAUGCCAGGAGGUUCCUGUCACUCCUGCAGGUGUGACCUUCUGGCAGUCAGGAACUGAGGGCCAUUCCAAAGUGACACUGUCCCAGACCUCAGACAGAAGAUCUAGACAGAGGAUGGUGAAGCAUGGCCCAGUAGCCCUCACUCCCCAUGUCCUCACCUCCAAACAUGUGAUCCAAAUUAACAUUGAUAAAUUUUUGGAUGAAUCUUUUGCUCUCUAAACUGCUACUCUAUCCCAAACUCAAACCUGAUAAAUUUGGAUACCAAAGAACACGUGUAUACAUGAA
Long non-coding RNA from Molossus molossus (Pallas's mastiff bat), 2123 nucleotides. RefSeq lists it as uncharacterized. The transcript is spliced from 3 exons. The record is from RefSeq and is a predicted model, not a curated record. Lineage: Eukaryota; Metazoa; Chordata; Mammalia; Chiroptera; Molossidae.